RNAcentral lists this ribosomal RNA (254 nucleotides) under uncultured bacterium. RNAcentral's name for it is "partial 16S ribosomal RNA". It matches the Rfam family "Bacterial small subunit ribosomal RNA", at positions 524 to 776 of the family's 1533-position model. The record is from RNAcentral.
UACGGAGGGUGCGAGCGUUGUCCGGAAUCACUGGGCGUAAAGGGCGCGUAGGCGGUCAGCACAAGUCAGUUGUGAAAUCUCCGGGCUUAACUCGGAAAGGUCAACUGAUACUGUGCGACUAGAGUGCGGAAGGGGCAACUGGAAUUCUCGGUGUAGCGGUGAAAUGCGUAGAUAUCGAGAGGAACACCUGCGGCGAAGGCGGGUUGCUGGGCCGACACUGACGCUGAGGCGCGAAAGCCAGGGGAGCGAACGGG